This 542-nucleotide ribosomal RNA is filed under the name Saturnispora silvae. Its description in RNAcentral is "LSU rRNA". It matches the Rfam family "Eukaryotic large subunit ribosomal RNA", at positions 62 to 648 of the family's 3401-position model. The record is from RNAcentral. Lineage: Eukaryota; Fungi; Ascomycota; Pichiomycetes; Pichiales; Pichiaceae.
AAACCAACAGGGAUUGCCUCAGUAGCGGCGAGUGAAGCGGCAAAAGCUCCAUUUUGAAAGCUCUUCGGAGCGUUGUAGAUUGGUGGGAAGCUAACGGCUGGUGGGAGACCAAGUCCUCUGGAACGAGGCGCCAUAGAGGGUGAGAGCCCCGUGUGUCUCCUUUACCGACCUUUCAGCCCCCUCCGCGGAGUCGAGUUGUUUGGGAAUGCAGCUCUAAGUGGGUGGUAAAUUCCAUCUAAGGCUAAAUAUUGGCGAGAGACCGAUAGCGAACAAGUACAGUGAUGGAAAGAUGAAAAGCACUUUGAAAAGAGAGUGAAACAGUACGUGAAAUUGUUGAAAGGGAAGGGUAUUUGGCCCGACAUGGGUCCUAUGCACCGUUGCCUCUCGUGGGCGGCGCUCUGCUUGGGCCUGGGCCAGCGUCAGUUUGGAGGGGGCGAGAAGGGUUUUGGGGAGUUGCCUAGCAAUUCCCCUUUGCUAGAUUGCCCCACACCCGGACUGAGGACCGCCAUCUGUAGGAUGCUGGCACAACGGCCAAAUACCGC